This 403-nucleotide ribosomal RNA is filed under the name uncultured bacterium. Its description in RNAcentral is "partial 16S ribosomal RNA". It matches the Rfam family "Bacterial small subunit ribosomal RNA", at positions 30 to 527 of the family's 1533-position model. The record is from RNAcentral.
AUUGAACGCUGGCGGCAGGCCUAACACAUGCAAGUCGAGCGAGCGGCGGACGGGUGAGUAAUGUAUGGGGACUGCCCGAUAGAGGGGGAUAACUACUGGAAACGGUGGCUAAUACCGCAUACUAUCGGAUAACCCAUAUGGGUUUCGCUAGUAGGUUGGGUAAAGGCUCACCUAGGCGACGAUCUCUAGCUUGUCUGAGAGGAUGAUCAGCCACACUGGGACUGAGACACGGCCCAGACUCCUACGGAGGCAGCAGUGGGGAAGAUUGCACAAGGGGCGCAAGCCUGAUGCAGCCAGGCCGCGUGUAUGAAGAAGGCCUUAGGGUUGUAAAGUACUUUCGGUAGCGAGGCGGUAACUACAGAAGAAGCACCGGCUAACUCCGUGCCAGCAGCCGCGGUAAUUG